GACGAACGCUGGCGGCGUGCUUAACACAUGCAAGUCGAACGGUAAGGCUCCAGCUUGCUGGGGUACACGAGUGGCGAACGGGUGAGUAACACGUGGGUGACCUGCCCUGCACUUCGGGAUAAGCCUGGGAAACUGGGUCUAAUACCGGAUAGGACCAUGGUGUGGAUACUGUGGUGGAAAGUUUUUUCGGUGUGGGAUGGGCCCGCGGCCUAUCAGCUUGUUGGUGGGGUAAUGGCCUACCAAGGCGGCGACGGGUAGCCGGCCUGAGAGGGUGGACGGCCACAUUGGGACUGAGACACGGCCCAGACUCCUACGGGAGGCAGCAGUGGGGAAUAUUGCACAAUAGGCGGAAGCCUGAUGCAGCGACGCCGCGUGGGGGAUGACGGCCUUCGGGUUGUAAACUCCUUUCACCAUCGACGAAGGGUUUCUGACGGUAGAUGGAGAAGAAGCACCGGCUAACUACGUG
Molecule: ribosomal RNA, 466 nt
Filed under: uncultured bacterium
Lineage: Bacteria
Description: partial 16S ribosomal RNA
Rfam family: Bacterial small subunit ribosomal RNA
Source: RNAcentral